UAGCUUAUCAGAGUAACUAGUUGGCACCUUAACAGGCAUGCAGAAUCUGACUCAGGAACAGAGACUCAAGAGAACUAAGGUGCAGUAGGAAGCAGGUGGCAGAGUGAAGAUCUUAAAGCCAAAGUGGGAGCUCAAAACCAGGAAGGAGCCAGGCACAGUGGCAUAUGCCUGUGGUCUCAGCUACUCAGGAGGCCAAGAUAAGAGGAUCACUUGAGCCCAGGAGUUUAAGACCAGCCCCGGCAACACAGUGAGACCUCAAAAACAACCCAGUUAUGGCAUGAGAAUCUGGCUGGAUGUGCUUCACCACCACCCAGAAGAGCCCCAUGGGGAUGUAGAGAUUAAAUCCAAUCAUCUCUAAGGUCCAUUCCCAACUGGAAUUUUAGAAUUUCAGAAGCAGGAACAUUUCCUACCUAUAGUUGAGCAGUUUCAUGCUACAUCAUGGUGGAUCCCUCCCAAGUCACCACUGCCUAACAUUCCACAGAAUAUAGUUGAAAGGUAAACUUCAGGGAACACAGGGGCAUCUCUUUCCCUAUAAUUGGCAGGAAAGGAGCUCUAGAAACAAAAGGUUCAAGAUGGAAGGAGGUAUUGCUUGGAGGGGGGCUGCCCGUGGGAAUAGGGAACAUGCAGACAGAGAGGGUCUUCUUUCCGCCUUCUUCUCUUAAGCCAGAGUCCCAUCCAAAUGUAGCUAAGGUAUACAGAAGUGUAAGGGGGAAGGGUUGUGAUUAGAGCCUGAGUGAUAAGGGUCACUACUGGGGGCUCAACUUCCUUGAGUGGACUGCUCUUCCCUCAACUGUGCCUAGGUCAGGCCUACUUAUCAGAAACCUUAAGGGGAGGCUGGGUGUGGUGGCUCAUGCCUAUAACCCCAGCACUUUGGGGGGCCGAGGCAGUUGGAUUGCCUGA
RNAcentral lists this long non-coding RNA (900 nucleotides) under Homo sapiens (human). RNAcentral's name for it is "HSALNT0334265". Lineage: Eukaryota; Metazoa; Chordata; Mammalia; Primates; Hominidae. The record is from RNAcentral.